This 75-nucleotide transfer RNA is filed under the name Terriglobia bacterium. RNAcentral's name for it is "tRNA-Lys". It matches the Rfam family "tRNA". Rfam says of the family: Transfer RNA (tRNA) molecules are approximately 80 nucleotides in length. The record is from RNAcentral. Lineage: Bacteria; Pseudomonadati; Acidobacteriota; Terriglobia.
GGGCCGGUAGCUCAAUGGUAGAGCACUGCCCUUUUAAGGCAGGGGUUCUGGGUUCGAGUCCCAGCCGGCUCACCA